Molecule: RNA transcript, 1451 nt
Organism: Tarenaya hassleriana
Lineage: Eukaryota; Viridiplantae; Streptophyta; Magnoliopsida; Brassicales; Cleomaceae
Gene name: GATA transcription factor 28-like
Exons: 9
Source: RefSeq, a predicted model, not a curated record
AUUUCUCUAUCGUUCCUCUUCCCGGUGACGCUUCUCCUCCCCUGCACUCUUUCUGUCGUCGCCGGUACACCGGCGCUGGAGGUUCUUUCCGGCGAUUCGUGGUCAUUCCUCGGCGCCUUUAGCAAAUUGAUGAACAAAGAACUAUGAAUGGCCUUCACGGAGACGAUGCCCAAAUGCACAUUGGGGAAGCACAAGAUCCGAUGCAUGUACAAUAUGAGCAUCAUGGUUUGCACCACAUCAACAAUGGAAACCGUAUGGUUGAGAUGCAUGCUGAUGGUGGCACCACUGGUCGGGUGAAUGGAGGAGUGGAAACAGACAUUCCUUCUCACACUGGAAAUUUUUCAGACAAUCGUGGUGAAGUGGUUGACCGUGGUAGUGAAAAUGGAGAUCAGCUGACAUUGUCUUUUCAAGGCCAAGUUUAUGUCUUUGACAGCGUCUCGGCUGAGAAGGUCCAAGCUGUGCUUCUACUGUUAGGAGGCCGUGAAUUACCGCAGGCUGUUUCUCCAGCUGUAGGGCCGACAACUCCUCAGAACAAUAGGGGUUUUUCUGGUAUUCCUCAAAGGUUUAGUGUCCCCCAACGGUUGGCCUCCUUAGUCAGAUUCCGAGAGAAACGAAAGGGGAGGAAUUUCGAUAAGAAAAUCCGGUACACAGUUCGUAAAGAAGUUGCCUUGAGGAUGCAACGUAAUAAAGGUCAGUUCACAUCUGCCAAAUCAAACAAUGACGAUUCUGCAUCAGCAGGAUCAAACUGGGAGUCAAACCCCACCUGGGGCAUUGAAGGGACCGAAUCUCAGGCUCAAGAGAUUUCGUGCCGGCACUGUGGAAUCAACGAGAAGUCUACUCCCAUGAUGCGACGAGGUCCUGAAGGACCAAGAACGCUUUGCAAUGCUUGUGGACUAAUGUGGGCAAACAAGGGGACUCUCAGGGACCUAUCCAAAGCCACUCCAGCUGCACAAAAUCUGCCUGUAAAUAGGACCAACCAGGAUGCAAAUGUCGAGGCCGAUCAAAUGAUGAGAGUUACUGGUAACAUUAGCAACUCGUCAUGACUAACAGAGAAAUAUGAUCCGUCCGACCUCAGGUCAGGUGCGUGCUUUAACCCGAUAUUGUUAGAAGGAAUCUGAGUUCAGUUCGGUUUUUAUUUUUGGGAGCGAAUUCCGAUGAUGGAACAUUGGGACAACGCCCUGCCGCCGUGGUGGUCUGUUACAGAAAGGUUCAUAUAGCCAGUCUUCUGUUAUAUACAGUAUGUGUGGACAUACAUACAUUACAUGCAUACAUAUACAUGAAUAUACUGUAUCUUUCCCUAGUUUAGAGGACUUUAUGAAAUCUAACUCCUUUCGCCGUAUCAUCAUUGCCUUGGGCGUUUUGUUUGUGAUUGGUUCUUGUUUUGAUGUUUCAUGCCUUAGUCCUAUGACUCUGACUAGGGUUUAUACAAGCCAUGGAAACUGUUACUUAGU